Molecule: transfer RNA, 73 nt
Filed under: Felis catus (domestic cat)
Lineage: Eukaryota; Metazoa; Chordata; Mammalia; Carnivora; Felidae
Also listed under: 4 other names
Rfam family: tRNA
About the family: Transfer RNA (tRNA) molecules are approximately 80 nucleotides in length.
Source: Rfam by way of RNAcentral
GCCUGGCUGGCUCAGUCGGGAGAGCGUGUGACUCUUGAUCUCAAGGUUGUAAGUUCGAACCCCACGUUGCGUG